This 401-nucleotide ribosomal RNA is filed under the name uncultured Barnesiella sp. RNAcentral describes it as "bacterial SSU rRNA". It matches the Rfam family "Bacterial small subunit ribosomal RNA", at positions 355 to 754 of the family's 1533-position model. The record is from RNAcentral. Lineage: Bacteria; Pseudomonadati; Bacteroidota; Bacteroidia; Bacteroidales; Barnesiellaceae.
GGAGGAAUAUUGGUCGAUGGGCGAGAGCCUGAACCAGCCAAGUCGCGUGAGAGAAGACGGUCCUACGGAUUGUAAACCUCUUUUGUCGGGGAGCAAAAGGCGCCACGCGUGGUGUAUAGAGUGUACCCGAAGAAAAAGCAUCGGCUAACUCCGUACCAGCAGCCGCGGUAAUACGGAGGAUGCGAGCGUUAUCCGGAUUUAUUGGGUUUAAAGGGUGCGCAGGCGGCGCGCCAAGUCAGCGGUCAAAGUUCCGGGCUCAACCCGGUGUCGCCGUUGAAACUGGCGUGCUCGAGUGCGUGCGAGGAAGGCGGAAUGCGUUGUGUAGCGGUGAAAUGCAUAGAUAUGACGCAGAACUCCGAUUGCGAAGGCAGCUUUCCAGCGCGCUACUGACGCUGAGGCAC